RNAcentral lists this long non-coding RNA (281 nucleotides) under Mustela putorius furo (domestic ferret). RNAcentral describes it as "lncRNA (ENSMPUG00000028417.1)". Lineage: Eukaryota; Metazoa; Chordata; Mammalia; Carnivora; Mustelidae. The record is from RNAcentral.
GCAUUACGUGAAAACACAGAGCAUGUUGUCUCCCUUACGUGAGCACGGUUUCCCCUCGUGUUCUUAGGCUUCACUUCUGGAGUUGAAGGGGAGUGCCGCCUGCCCCUUUACCAGCCUGGAGCUCACUGAUUGCAGGAUGGAUCUGUGGUCUCUCCAGAGACUCGGGAGGGCUCUGCCACGCAGCCAUCUGCGUUCUCUCAUCCUCGAUUACAGCAGCCUGUUUGUGCAAGACACUGUGCUCUUCACUAAGGAAGAUACAAAUACAUAUAAGGCAAUGGCCC